AAGGUUUUAAGUUAAACAAAACUAAUAGCCUUCAAAGCUGAAAAUAAAUUAUAUUAUUUAAACCUUA
Molecule: transfer RNA, 67 nt
Filed under: Ocellarnaca braueri
Lineage: Eukaryota; Metazoa; Arthropoda; Insecta; Orthoptera; Gryllacrididae
Description: tRNA-Trp
Source: RNAcentral